Molecule: RNA transcript, 1114 nt
Organism: Mus musculus (house mouse)
Lineage: Eukaryota; Metazoa; Chordata; Mammalia; Rodentia; Muridae
Gene: Cyp4f41-ps
Gene name: cytochrome P450, family 4, subfamily f, polypeptide 41 pseudogene
Exons: 3
Source: RefSeq, marked validated
CCUUAGAACUGAGUUAUCAGGUUCAGCAACGCUUACCACCGAAAUGGGUCUGAAUCUUGCAGAAUCUGGCUCUCCUCUGGAAGGUGGAUCUGCCCCAACAAGGAGAGAAGAGAAUCUAGGGACCAUGUACUCCAAGAUGCUGAAGCCUCCACAGCCUUCUAAGACCAGAAAUUGGACUAGCUGGAUUAGGAGACAUGAUGAAGAUGGAAAGAAAUGUUGGCUACCUCUGAGGUUUCUUGCGGUCAGACUUCCAGGUGACAAGGGGCCACGCCGGCUUUCGGCGCUGAUGCUGCGGACGGAGGGCGGGCUGUGGCUGCAGGUGGAACUGCUGACUCCACACCGGAUUUGGAACCGCUCUACCCACCCAUCUCAUCAGGAUCCCAGAAUCAACAGAGCAGUUGCUCAUGCUCGAACCUCACCAAGUACCAGCAGGGGGCGCGGUGGAACCAGGCUGGUGCCUUUGAGUCCAAGAGCCUUCCUAGCAUCCCUGAGCUAUAUAGACUAUCCUAUAAGAACCACAGUAGAUGUCUAAACAUCUAGCCUAGGCCCGACUGUAUGGACCAGGCUGGUCUCAAAUUUGCAGCAAACUUCUGCUGAGACCUCACCACCCGAGUGCUGCAUUUAGAAGAGUGGGCUACUGUACUUGGCGUGCCCAAUCUGAAGGAAAUUUUGUAGAAAUAAAGGUCAAUUUCCCAAGAAAGGAGCCUGGGAGCCGUUGACAAUGGUGUUAAAUGACGUCGAGGGCUAGUGAUGUCCAAGACGAGUAAAACGGCUUCAAUUUAACAUGACCUCACGCUGGCAGGCUUCCUGUGUGGUGGUGUGUGCUUUCAGGUUCCCACUUACUCCUCGUGGGGCUGGGGAGGUGGCUCAGUGGGGAGACAGGCGGAUCCCAGCGCCUCACUGGCCAGCCAGUCUUGUGAAAACAGGAAACUUCAGAGCGUUGAAGCCAACCUGAUCUACAGAGCUAAUUCUAGGACAGCCAGGGCUACGCAAGGAAAUCCUGUCUGAGAAAACUAAAGGGGUAGGAGGUGAAGUGGGGGAACUCCAGUUCAAUGAGAGAAUCUGUCUGAUGAAAUAAGGUGAACAGAAAUAAAGACACUUGAUGUCAACCGCC